AGUGAACGCUGGCGGCAGGCCUAAUACAUGCAAGUCGAACGGCAGCACAGCAGAGCUUGCUCUGUGGGUGGCGAGUGGCGGACGGGUGAGGAAUACAUGGGAAUCUGCCCAGUCGUGGGGAUAACGUAGGGAAACUUACGCUAAUACCGCAUGCGCCCUUCGGGGGAAAGCCGGGGACCUUCGGGCCUGGCGCGAUUGGAUGAGCCCAUGUCGGAUUAGCUAGUUGGCGGGGUAAUGGCCCACCAAGGCGACGAUCCGUAGCUGGUCUGAGAGGAUGAUCAGCCACACUGGAACUGAGACACGGUCCAGACUCCUACGGGAGGCAGCAGUAGGGAAUAUUGGACAAUGGGCGCAAGCCUGAUCCAGCCAUGCCGCGUGAGUGAAGAAGGCCCUCGGGUUGUAAAGCUCUUUUGUCCGGAAAGAAAAGCGCCGGGUUAAUACCCUGGUGUCCUGACGGUACCGAAGAAUAAGCACCGGCUAACUUCGUGCCAGCAGCCGCGGUAA
RNAcentral lists this ribosomal RNA (504 nucleotides) under uncultured bacterium. RNAcentral's name for it is "bacterial SSU rRNA". It matches the Rfam family "Bacterial small subunit ribosomal RNA", at positions 29 to 523 of the family's 1533-position model. The record is from RNAcentral.